AAGGAUCUUCUCCGCAUCGGUUCCCAAUUUAUUGGGUACCGUGAAUAUGCUAAUAGAGCCGAAGAGAAACUUGCAGAGGCUAACGAACGCGCCGACGCACUUUCUCGAAAACUUGAGCAAAGUGAGGCGGCUCGCAAGAAAGCGGACCUCGCUGCUAGCAAAGCCAAGACCGAAGCUGAUGAAGCCAAGGCGAAAGCUGCUGGUGUCGAGGAACUGCAGAAAAAGCUUAAGGAUGCUACAGCUGCUUUAGAUGAGCACAAAGCUGCGCAAGCUUCUCGUGAAGAAGGAAUCCUCAAGCGCCUGAAGACUCAGAGUCGCCGUACUUUCGUCCAAACAAACCAGG
This is a non-coding RNA of Lolium perenne, 343 nucleotides long. The record is from RefSeq and is a predicted model, not a curated record. NCBI's taxonomy places the organism in Eukaryota, Viridiplantae, Streptophyta, Magnoliopsida, Poales, Poaceae.